RNAcentral lists this unclassified non-coding RNA (410 nucleotides) under Hevea brasiliensis (rubber tree). Lineage: Eukaryota; Viridiplantae; Streptophyta; Magnoliopsida; Malpighiales; Euphorbiaceae. The record is from RNAcentral.
AGGGUAGCUUGAGAUCAACCAGGGUGUAUGACCUAGGGCUUGGAUACAAUUGAAGCCAACACACCUGAGGCUGAGCCGCUGAGGUGUAUCUUUGAUGAAUAUGAUACUGCAGAAGUCAUUUUUUUUUUCUCCUUGUAGUUGAUCAAAAUAUUUAUUGAGAAACAAAAACAUUAUCAUUUCUAUAUAUGCCAUGCCAUAGAGAUAUCUAUAAAACAAUAUCUACAAAAGUUUCACUUUAAGAUAUCAUAGGUUCAUAGUUAGAAUAUGCUAGAAAAUCAACUCCCUUAUCUAUCUGCUUUAUUUUUGAAUCAGAAAGGUUCCACUUUCUUGCAUUCUUUCUGGACUUUCAAGUCCUUAUGGUUGCGGCAACAUAUAAUAUAAUUUGUAUUCAAUUUUUAGCAUUCCCACUU